CAACCCGCAAGGGAGCCAGCCGCCGAAGGUGGGGCAAGUGAUUGGGGUGAAGUCGUAACAAGGUAGCCGUACCGGAAGGUGCGGCUGGAUCACCUCCUUUCUAAGGAGA
Molecule: ribosomal RNA, 109 nt
Filed under: Geobacillus sp. A8
Lineage: Bacteria; Bacillati; Bacillota; Bacilli; Caryophanales; Anoxybacillaceae
Description: partial 16S ribosomal RNA
Rfam family: Bacterial small subunit ribosomal RNA
Source: RNAcentral